ACGGAGGAUCCGAGCGUUAUCCGGAUUUAUUGGGUUUAAAGGGAGCGUAGGUGGAUUGUUAAGUCAGUUGUGAAAGUUUGCGGCUCAACCGUAAAAUUGCAGUUGAAACUGGCAGUCUUGAGUACAGUAGAGGUGGGCGGAAUUCGUGGUGUAGCAGUGAAAUGGUUUGUUAUCACGAAGAAUGCUGAUAGGUGUGGCAAUCCACGAGUAUGUGAUUGACGCUGAGUCCCGAGAGUGUGUGUUUUAGGGAG
Molecule: ribosomal RNA, 251 nt
Filed under: uncultured prokaryote
Description: partial 16S rRNA
Rfam family: Bacterial small subunit ribosomal RNA
Source: RNAcentral